Molecule: non-coding RNA, 553 nt
Filed under: Anaeromyces robustus
Lineage: Eukaryota; Fungi; Neocallimastigomycota; Neocallimastigomycetes; Neocallimastigales; Neocallimastigaceae
Description: Eukaryotic small subunit ribosomal RNA
Rfam family: Eukaryotic small subunit ribosomal RNA
Source: Rfam by way of RNAcentral
AAGUAGUAAGGUUGUUAAGAUUGAAACUUAAAGGAAUUGACGGAAGGAUAAAACCAUCAAGAAUUGGAAUCUGUGAUUGACUUAAUUUGAUUCAACAUGAGGAAACUUACCAGGUCUCUAGACCUAGUAAUAAGGAUUGAUAAAUUGAGGGUUCUUUUUUGAUUCUAUGGAUGAUAGUGCACGGUUAUUCUUAGUUGAUAGAGCGAUUUGUAUGGUUAAUUUCGGUAACGAACGAGAUCUUAACUUGUUAAAUAAUUACACAAAUCUUAUAUUCUUGGGCUAACUUUUUAAAGGGAUUAGAGAUUUUUAAUCUAUGGUAGUUUUAAGGAAAUAAUAGGUCUUUAAUGAUAUUCUGAGCCGAACAAACAUACGCUUUACAUUGAUGAAGUCAAUAAGUGUAGCAUCCUUGAUUGGAAGGGUCCAAGUAAUUUUUUGAAAUUUCAUUAUGUUUGGGGAUAGUUCCUUACCCAAUUUUUGGACUUCAAUGAAGAAUUCCUAGUAAGUAUAACUCAUCAAUACCUGUUGAUUACAUUCCUAUCCCCCUUUUUGUAUA